GAUCGCGGCGACGUGGGCGGUUCGCCGCCGAUGACGUCGCGAGAAGUCCACUGAACCUUAUCAUUUAGAGGAAGGAGAAGUCGUAACAAGGUUUCCGUAGGUGAACCUGCGGAAGGAUCAUUG
This 123-nucleotide ribosomal RNA is filed under the name Eugenia handroi. RNAcentral describes it as "partial 18S ribosomal RNA". It matches the Rfam family "Eukaryotic small subunit ribosomal RNA", at positions 1713 to 1831 of the family's 1831-position model. Lineage: Eukaryota; Viridiplantae; Streptophyta; Magnoliopsida; Myrtales; Myrtaceae. RNAcentral also lists the same sequence under 5 other names. The record is from RNAcentral.